RNAcentral lists this small nuclear RNA (104 nucleotides) under Sciurus vulgaris (Eurasian red squirrel). RNAcentral describes it as "U1 spliceosomal RNA (ENSSVLG00005007275.1)". It matches the Rfam family "U1 spliceosomal RNA", at positions 15 to 120 of the family's 166-position model. Rfam says of the family: U1 is a small nuclear RNA (snRNA) component of the spliceosome (involved in pre-mRNA splicing). Its 5' end forms complementary base pairs with the 5' splice junction, thus defining the 5' donor site of an intron. There are significant differences in sequence and secondary structure between metazoan and yeast U1 snRNAs, the latter being much longer (568 nucleotides as compared to 164 nucleotides in human). The record is from RNAcentral. Lineage: Eukaryota; Metazoa; Chordata; Mammalia; Rodentia; Sciuridae.
UGGAAGAUACAAUGAUCAUGAAGAUGGUUGUUUCAGAUUAAGGCUUAUCCAUUGCACUCUGGCUGAGCUGACCCCUGUGGUUUUCCUAAAGGUGAAAAACUGGA